RNAcentral lists this microRNA (23 nucleotides) under Mus musculus (house mouse). RNAcentral describes it as "mmu-miR-3081-3p". The record is from miRBase by way of RNAcentral. Lineage: Eukaryota; Metazoa; Chordata; Mammalia; Rodentia; Muridae.
UUGCGCUCCGAUCUCUGAGCUGG